AAAAAAAAAAAAAAAAAAAAGAAAAAGGAGCUUGACUCUAAAUCUCUAAAUCUUGGAGUCUGGAUGCACUAUUCAUGUGAUAGGCUAAAAUAACUACUAAUACCUUAUGUUCAAACAGCACUUUAUGAAGUGAUUACACAUAAAAGAUCUUUUUUGAUAUAACUGUUAUACGGCAUAUCUUCCAUUUUAUAGACAGGGCAACCUGUCUCAAUGAUCCAUAAUGUUGCUACCCUGGUGCCAGAUGGAUAUGAUAGAAGGCUCCUAAAAGGCUCUUGGUUUGAGGAAAGUGUUGCUUACAUACAACAGGAAUCUUGUGGGAUUUAAGAAGUGGGGAGAUGUGGAAGUGUAGCCACUCUCUUUUUCAUUCUACCAGUUGCUAUUUCAAUCUUUUUCAAGAGAAGGCUAAAAUUUUAAGAGAAGGCUAAAAUUUUAUGUAACUAUCAAGGAGAGGAACAAAAUUAUGGCUUUUAAUGCUCCCUUUGGGAAGGUCAAGAAUUUGGAGCUUUUAUAUUUCUCUUUCUUCUUAAUUUAGGUCUUGAUCAAUAUAACUGGAGCCUGUGGGGUAUGUGUGUAUAAAAUAAAGU
This 584-nucleotide long non-coding RNA is filed under the name Homo sapiens (human). Its description in RNAcentral is "HSALNT0101033". Lineage: Eukaryota; Metazoa; Chordata; Mammalia; Primates; Hominidae. The record is from RNAcentral.